RNAcentral lists this ribosomal RNA (253 nucleotides) under uncultured bacterium. RNAcentral describes it as "partial 16S ribosomal RNA". It matches the Rfam family "Bacterial small subunit ribosomal RNA", at positions 524 to 776 of the family's 1533-position model. The record is from RNAcentral.
UACAUAGGGACCGAGCGUUGUCCGGAUUCAUUGGGCGUAAAGAGCUCGUAGGCGGCCACUCAAGUCGAAUGUGAAACCUCGAGGCUUAACCUCGAGCCUGCAUUCGAUACUGGGCGGCUAGAGUCUGGUAGGGGGAUCUGGAAUUCCUGGUGUAGCGGUGGAAUGCGCAGAUAUCAGGAGGAACACCGGUGGCGAAGGCGGGAUCCUGGGCCAGUACUGACGCUGAGGAGCGAAAGCGUGGGGAGCAAACAGG